This 240-nucleotide long non-coding RNA is filed under the name Cucumis sativus (cucumber). RNAcentral's name for it is "long non-coding RNA (CSAT_LNC002360)". The record is from RNAcentral. Lineage: Eukaryota; Viridiplantae; Streptophyta; Magnoliopsida; Cucurbitales; Cucurbitaceae.
GCUUGUUGGCUUAGUGGACAGCGGAGUUGGGCAGACUCAACGCUGAUUUUCAUUCCUCUGGGUCACAGGUUCGAUCUGUUUGGGUAUGAGGUAGAAAGAAGGAAAAUAAUAAUAAUAAUUAUUGGUGACUAUCGUUAAGGUAUUUCAAAAUACCUUUUUUUCUUUUCUUUUUUCUUUUCUUUUUUAGUUACUUUUACAUUUUUUUUAUUUUUUAUUAUUAUUUUGAAAAAAAAAAUUUCU